This 503-nucleotide ribosomal RNA is filed under the name uncultured bacterium. RNAcentral's name for it is "bacterial SSU rRNA". It matches the Rfam family "Bacterial small subunit ribosomal RNA", at positions 791 to 1300 of the family's 1533-position model. The record is from RNAcentral.
UAGUCCACGCUGUAAACGAUGAUUACUCGGUGUUGGCGAUAUAAUGUCAGUGCCCAAGCGAAAGUGAUAAGUAAUCCACCUGGGGAGUACGAUCGCAAGGUUGAAACUCAAAGGAAUUGACGGGGGCCCGCACAAGCGGUGGAGCAUGUGGUUUAAUUCGAUGAUACGCGAGGAACCUUACCUGGGCUUAAAUGUACUCUGACGUUUUGAGAAAUCAGAAUUUCUUCGGACAGAGUACAAGGUGCUGCAUGGUUGUCGUCAGCUCGUGCUGUGAGGUGUCGGGUUAAGUCCCAUAACGAGCGCAACCCCUAUCCUUAGUUGCCAGCGGAUAAUGCCGGGGACUCUAAGGAAACUGCCCGCGCAAGCGGAGAGGAAGGUGGGGAUGACGUCAAAUCAUCACGGCCCUUACGUCCAGGGCUACGCACGUGCUACAAUGGUCGGUACAAAGGGCAGCUACCCAGCGAUGGGAUGCUAAUCUCUAAAGCCGGCCUCAGUUCGGAUUG